AUGAAUGCUAUGAGCUGGAACUGUCGCGGGCUUGGGAACCCUACGACAGUUCGUGAGCUUCGCAAGGUUGUGAAGCAGGAAGGUCCCUUCCUCUUCUUCGUCAUGGAAACAAAGAUUAGGGCUAAGCGUGUGGAAAAUCUGAAAGGUCUAUUAGGUUUUACCGGCUGUUUCGCUAUGGACAGUGUCGGUUUGAGUGGCGGUAUUGGCUUAUUCUGGACAGGGGAGCUUCAUGUUGAACUA
This 240-nucleotide ribosomal RNA is filed under the name Triticum aestivum (bread wheat). RNAcentral describes it as "partial small subunit ribosomal RNA". The record is from RNAcentral. Lineage: Eukaryota; Viridiplantae; Streptophyta; Magnoliopsida; Poales; Poaceae.